Lotus japonicus is the source of this 1268-nucleotide long non-coding RNA. RefSeq lists it as uncharacterized. Lineage: Eukaryota; Viridiplantae; Streptophyta; Magnoliopsida; Fabales; Fabaceae. The record is from RefSeq and is a predicted model, not a curated record. The transcript has 11 exons.
CUCAUAAAUGGUUAUACUGCUACCACCACUUUGAAACACUUGAUCUUCCUCAUUUUCUCCCUUUGUUUGAAAGUUUUCAAGAAUUUCAACAACCUGGCUCAUGAGAGGUCUGCCUUUGGGGUUUUGGCUAAGACAUAGUGGGCGUGCCCACUCAACCAAGUUAUGCUCUCGGCUGGGCCUGCUCUUGUCUAAUGCUCUCCUACCAAUAAGCAUUUCAAGUAGCACCACCCCAAAACCAUACACAUCACUUCGUGCUGUCAAAUGCCCUGUACAUAUUGACAAACAGGGUUUCAUUUCCAACAACAAAGUGCAGAAAAAGGCCAGGUGAUGUCUUGCGACAGUUGUUUGUGUCAACUUAGAAUUACAUCCUUCCACAGCAGCUGCGCACCUCCUUCCUCUUCUCCGGCAGCGCGCGCCUCCUCCCUCUCCUCCGGUCGCGCGCGCCUCCUUCUUCUCCUCCGGUCGCGCGCCGCCUACCUCUCCUCCGGUCGCGUGCCCCUCCUGCACUCUCGCCGAGCCUCUUCACGUCUACAGAAAAAAGCUCCAAAAAUGGACUCAACCCAAUGUCAAGAGAAUGGAAACAAAGAUGGUCCCUCCCUCUUUUCACGCAAUCCCUAAAUCCUUGCUGAAGCUCAAAUCGUCGUCGCACUGCUGGAAGCUCUCAACUCAGGAACAACGGUUCACUGCUGAAGCCCACCGCUGUCGCUGCCGCCGUCGCACUGCUUGAAGCACUGCCGCAGUUUUUAGUGGAGCUGAAUAGUAAUAAUGCACUUCAUGUUCAAGUGACUAUUGGGACCCUUAUUUUUCAGAAUUGUAUCUCUUGCUUUUUUGCUCAAGGGAGAAACUUGGGUUGUCUAGAACUUUCUUGUUCACACCUUGCAACUCCAGAAGCUUGGCACCUGUUGUGGAAAGGUACUUAGCUUGAGUUGAAAAAACAGUAGCAGCUGAGUUGAAAGGGUUCAAAGUUGCUCACCUCCGCUGCUCUCCUAAUUUAUGCUUAUGGUGCUGGUGGCUUUCCUGCUUGGGGCAUUAAUUUGCUGAACUGUUGCUGUUUUGCUGAAUUGUUGCUGUUUAACUAUUUUGUCAUAAUUUCAUGAGCAGUUGCUGUUUAACUACAUUUAAAGAACUAGAAUUGCUGAAUUGUUCUAGUUUUUUAGGCUAUUAUGUUUUCUUUUUUGCUGGGACCUUGGAUGUUUAACUCACUUGAGAGAGUGUGUUCUCAAGAUCUCUUUUUAUUUUAAUAAAUUUUCAUUAAAAAAAUAUGUAUA